RNAcentral lists this transfer RNA (63 nucleotides) under Teredo sp. TBF02. RNAcentral's name for it is "tRNA-His". The record is from RNAcentral. Lineage: Eukaryota; Metazoa; Mollusca; Bivalvia; Myida; Teredinidae. RNAcentral also lists the same sequence under 1 other name.
GCUGUUCUAGUUUAUUUAAAAUGUUGCGUUGUGGCCGCAAAGAAAAACGUUGUUUGAAUGGCA